RNAcentral lists this ribosomal RNA (228 nucleotides) under uncultured bacterium. RNAcentral describes it as "partial 16S ribosomal RNA". It matches the Rfam family "Bacterial small subunit ribosomal RNA", at positions 568 to 796 of the family's 1533-position model. The record is from RNAcentral.
UGCGUAGGCGGCGUUGUAAGUCAGAGGUGAAAUCCCACAGCUCAACUGUGGAAUUGCCUUUGAUACUGUAAUGCUUGAAUCAGGUUGAGGUCGGCGGAAUGUGGCAUGUAGCGGUGAAUGCUUAGAUAUGCCAUAGAACACCAAUUGCGAAGGCAGCUGGCUAGACCUGUAUUGACGCUGAGGCACGAAAGCGUGGGGAGCGAACAGGAUUAGAUACCCUGGUAGUCC